This 404-nucleotide ribosomal RNA is filed under the name uncultured bacterium. Its description in RNAcentral is "bacterial SSU rRNA". It matches the Rfam family "Bacterial small subunit ribosomal RNA", at positions 355 to 775 of the family's 1533-position model. The record is from RNAcentral.
UAGGGAAUAUUGCACAAUGGGCGAAAGCCUGAUGCAGCAACGCCGCGUGCGCGAAGAAGGCCUUCGGGUUGUAAAGCGCUUUUCGGGGAGAAGAGGAAGGACAGUAUCCCCGGAAUAAGGCUCGGCUAACUACGUGCCAGCAGCCGCGGUAACACGUAGGAGCCAAGCGUUAUCCGAAUUCACUGGGCGUAAAGCGCGUGUAGGCGGUCUUACAAGUUGGGUGUGAAAGCUCCUGGCUCAACUAGGAGAGGACGUUCAAUACUGUGAGACUAGAGGACGGCAGAGGAAGGUGGAAUUCCCGGUGUAGUGGUGAAAUGCGUAGAUAUCGGGAGGAACACCAGAGGCGAAGGCGGCCUUCUGGGCCGAUCCUGACGCUCAGACGCGAAAGCUAGGGGAGCGAACAG